UGGGGAAUUUUGGACAAUGGGCGCAAGCCUGAUUCAGCCAUGCCGCGUGCGGGAAGAAGGCCUUCGGGUUGUAAACCGCUUUUGUCAGGGAAGAAAUCUUCUGAGUUAAUACCUCGGGAGGAUGACGGUACCUGAAGAAUAAGCACCGGCUAACUACGUGCCAGCAGCCGCGGUAAUACGUAGGGUGCAAGCGUUAAUCGGAAUUACUGGGCGUAAAGCGUACGCAGGCGGUUUUGUAAGACAGAGGUGAAAUCCCCGGGCUCAACCUGGGAACUGCCUUUGUGACUGCAAGGCUUGAGUGCGGCAGAGGGGGAUGGAAUUCCGCGUGUAGCAGUGAAAUGCGUAGAUAUGCGGAGGAACACCGAUGGCGAAGGCAAUCCCCUGGGCCUGCACUGACGCUCAUGCACGAAAGCGUGGGGAGCAAACAGGAUUAGAUACCCUGGUAGUCCACGCCCUAAACGAUGUCAACUGGUUGUUGGGAAGGUUCCUUCUCAGUAACGUAGCUAACGCGUGAAGUUGACCGCCUGGGGAGUACGGCCGCAAGGUUGAAA
This 551-nucleotide ribosomal RNA is filed under the name uncultured bacterium. RNAcentral's name for it is "partial 16S ribosomal RNA". It matches the Rfam family "Bacterial small subunit ribosomal RNA", at positions 355 to 899 of the family's 1533-position model. The record is from RNAcentral.